UACGUAGGCAGCAAGCGUUGUUCGGAGUUAUUGGGCGUAAAGGGCUCGUAGGCGGUUUGUCGCGUCGGGAGUGAAAUCCACUGGCUUAACUGGUGGCUUGCUUUCGAUACGGGCAGACUGGAGGUAUGCAGGGGAGAACGGAAUUCCUGGUGUAGCGGUGAAAUGCGCAGAUAUCAGGAGGAACACCGGUGGCGAAGGCGGUUCUCUGGGCAUGUCCUGACGCUGAGGAGCGAAAGUGUGGGGAGCGAACAGG
This 253-nucleotide ribosomal RNA is filed under the name uncultured bacterium. RNAcentral's name for it is "partial 16S ribosomal RNA". It matches the Rfam family "Bacterial small subunit ribosomal RNA", at positions 524 to 776 of the family's 1533-position model. The record is from RNAcentral.